GACGAACGCUGGCGGCGUGCCUAAUACAUGCCAGUAGAACGCACAGUUUAUACCGUAGCUUGCUACACCAUAGACUGUGAGUUGCGAACGGGUGAGUAACGCGUAGGUAACCUGCCUGGUAGCGGGGGAUAACUAUUGGAAACGAUAGCUAAUACCGCAUAAUAUUGAUUAUUGCAUGAUAAUUGAUUGAAAGAUGCUAUUGCAUCACUACCAGAUGGACCUGCGUUGUAUUAGCUAGUAGGUGAGGUAACGGCUCACCUAGGCGACGGUACAUAGCCGACCUGAGAGGGUGAUCGGCCACACUGGGACUGAGACACGGCCCAGACUCCUACGGGAGGCAGCAGUAGGGAAUCUUCGGCAAUGGACGAAAGUCUGACCGAGCAACGCCGCGUGAGUGAAGAAGGUUUUCGGAUCGUAAAGCUCUGUUGUAAGAGAAGAACGGGUGUGAGAGUGGAAAGUUCACACUGUGACGGUAUCUUACCAGAAAGGGACGGCUAACUACGUG
Molecule: ribosomal RNA, 505 nt
Filed under: uncultured bacterium
Lineage: Bacteria
Description: partial 16S ribosomal RNA
Rfam family: Bacterial small subunit ribosomal RNA
Source: RNAcentral